GACUGCUAUGCUCUUGCCUCUUGCUAGUUUCCAAGAACCAUGGAGAUUUUGAGUCGUCCCACUUCCCCUUCCCAAUGGGACGCCGUACAGAGCCUCACAUCAUCCUACCAGUGUUUACCUGACGUUGACCCACCAGAGAGUCUACGCAUUCUCAGUUGCCCGGGACUCCCAGGUUGAAGAUCAUGAGCAUGCCCUGAUGAGCCAAGGCAUGCAACCACAGGGGAACCUAAGUGCUUGGACUGAGGAGUGGGGACUGAAAUAAGAAGCGGACACUGCAGGGCAGGAUCAGGAUCCAAUCAGAUCGAGCCCUGGCAUCACCUCAUGGCAGGAUCUAGUCAGAUCGUGGCUUUUGACAUCACUUCAUUGUGAAAUCCAAUCAGAUCACACCUUAUUACCCUAUCCUUAUAAAACCGGACCUAGCCCCCAGCUCGAGGAGGCACUGCUUUGGGAGUUAUCCCAGGUGUUCUUGUUACUAGUUGCAAGGAAUAAAAUCCUCUUGCUAAAUCCUCCUUGGUUGUGCAGAUGUUGGCAUGGAUGUGGAGAGAAGGGAACACUUACGCUUUGUUGGUGAGGAUGUAAAUUAGCUCAACUCUGUGAUAAACAGUAUGGAGAGUUUUCAAAGAACUAAAAAUAGAACUUCUACUCAACCCAGCAAUCCUAUGAGUGCAUGAGUGGGUAUCUACCCAAAGGAA
RNAcentral lists this long non-coding RNA (692 nucleotides) under Homo sapiens (human). Its description in RNAcentral is "HSALNT0161073". The record is from RNAcentral. Lineage: Eukaryota; Metazoa; Chordata; Mammalia; Primates; Hominidae.